Myotis daubentonii (Daubenton's bat) is the source of this 102-nucleotide small nuclear RNA. The record is from RefSeq and is a predicted model, not a curated record. NCBI's taxonomy places the organism in Eukaryota, Metazoa, Chordata, Mammalia, Chiroptera, Vespertilionidae.
GUGCUUGCUUUGGUGGUACAUAUACUAAAAUUGGAACAAUACAGAGAUUAGCAUGGCCCCUACACAAGGAUGACACAAAUUUAUGAAGCAUUCCAUUAAAAA